This 467-nucleotide ribosomal RNA is filed under the name uncultured bacterium. Its description in RNAcentral is "partial 16S ribosomal RNA". It matches the Rfam family "Bacterial small subunit ribosomal RNA", at positions 28 to 506 of the family's 1533-position model. The record is from RNAcentral.
GACGAACGCUGGCGGCGUGCUUAACACAUGCAAGUCGAGCGGAAAGGCCCUGCUUUUGUGGGGUGCUCGAGUGGCGAACGGGUGAGUAACACGUGAGUAACCUGCCCUUGACUUUGGGAUAACUUCAGGAAACUGGGGCUAAUACCGGAUAGGAGCUCCUGCUGCAUGGUGGGGGUUGGAAAGUUUCGGCGGUUGGGGAUGGACUCGCGGCUUAUCAGCUUGUUGGUGGGGUAGUGGCUUACCAAGGCUUUGACGGGUAGCCGGCCUGAGAGGGUGACCGGCCACAUUGGGACUGGGAUACGGCCCAGACUCCUACGGGAGGCAGCAGUGGGGAAUAUUGCACAAUGGGCGGAAGCCUGAUGCAGCAACGCCGCGUGCGGGAUGACGGCCUUCGGGUUGUAAACCGAUUUCGCCUGUGACGAAGCGUGAGUGACGGUAAUGGGGAAAGAAGCACCGGCUAACUACGU